Molecule: long non-coding RNA, 759 nt
Organism: Gossypium raimondii (Peruvian cotton)
Lineage: Eukaryota; Viridiplantae; Streptophyta; Magnoliopsida; Malvales; Malvaceae
Exons: 2
Source: RefSeq, a predicted model, not a curated record
CACUGCAGUCUUGUUUAUUUUCCUAUUUUGUGGAUCCAAGUCUUUCAGCUUCUUCCACCGUGGCUAAGCAGCUAGCAAACUGGUCUCCCUAGAACAACAAUGGACCGGUCGAUUUCGUUGUUUAAUGUCGAUAUGCUAUUGCUUUUCCUAAAUUGCAGAUAUUGCGCUGCUAUCGCUGGGACCGAUUACUGUGUUAUAGCAGCUGAUACUUGAAUGUCUACCGGUUACAAUAUCCUCACCGGCGACUACUCCAAAAUCUCCAAAACUGGGAAUAAACUCGAAAUUGUUGUCUUAAAUCUAAGGAUCUGAGGAAGGAUUGAUGGUGGCUUUCCACUCUGAAUCGGGUAAGAGCUCUUACAGAAGUGGAAUACUUGAAAUUUAGGGAAUGAUCAUGGUUCUUGUGUUAAUGUGUCACUGGCCUAGACUUUGACCAAUCAAACCGUGCAGCCUUAAGUGGAGAAUUGACUUUAAAUUGCCUAACUCAGCCUAAAUCCUCAAAGUUGAAACAACAGAAAGUAAAAAAACUCAAGAAAGCCUUAAAGAGUAAAUGCUCUCCAUUCGUGCCUAUGGCCGCAUGAUUUGCUCAGUUGAAGUCCAAGCUCAUGACAUCUGCUGGUUGUAUUGAACUGUUUUUUUGCAUUCUGACAGUAGUGAUACUUAAAUCUUAGUUGAUUUACCUUUGACAUUAGGCUAAAAUAGACUUGAAUAAUCUUUCAUGGAUGGAAAUGGCAUUAACUCGUGAUUACUCUCUUUUGACUA